This is a long non-coding RNA of Selaginella moellendorffii, 368 nucleotides long. RefSeq lists it as uncharacterized. The record is from RefSeq and is a predicted model, not a curated record. NCBI's taxonomy places the organism in Eukaryota, Viridiplantae, Streptophyta, Lycopodiopsida, Selaginellales, Selaginellaceae. The transcript has 2 exons.
GACUCUUUUACGCUUUUUGCUCCUUUUCGUAGAGAGCAAUUACUACUACCGUUGCCUCACCUCAGGUUCUUGCUGUUCUGUGCGCUGCGCUCUCGCUCUCCGUCGAGCAAGUCGAUGGAUCGAUGGAUCGUUCCUCGAGGGAAGACUAUGAGCAAGUUCUUCUUGGGGAUCGCGAAUACGGAGGUGCCGUGAGGAAUGCUUCAACAGCUUCGAUCCAUCAAGUAAGCUUCCACCACCUCAAAUCCUGCGUCCUGCAAAUGUAGAGUUCGUACCAUCGCCUCUCUCUAGCGACUCACUAUGAAAGUGGAAAAGGAAUUUGAUAUUUCCACAAGAUUACAAUGGUAAAAUCUCCUUGAAAUUGGAUCUAA